GCCGUCGUGGUGUAAUGGUCAGCACGCUCGACGCGUAACCGAGAGGUCCGUGGUUCGAUUCCCGGCGAAGGCG
This 73-nucleotide transfer RNA is filed under the name Stegodyphus mimosarum. It matches the Rfam family "tRNA". From Rfam's summary of the family: Transfer RNA (tRNA) molecules are approximately 80 nucleotides in length. Their secondary structure includes four short double-helical elements and three loops (D, anti-codon, and T loops). Lineage: Eukaryota; Metazoa; Arthropoda; Arachnida; Araneae; Eresidae. The record is from Rfam by way of RNAcentral.